Molecule: ribosomal RNA, 470 nt
Filed under: uncultured bacterium
Lineage: Bacteria
Description: bacterial SSU rRNA
Rfam family: Bacterial small subunit ribosomal RNA
Source: RNAcentral
GACGAACGCGGGCGGUGCGCCUUAUGCAUGCAAGUCGAGCGAAGCUUUUCAGUAGUUUACUACAGAAAAUGACUGAGCGGCGAACGGGUGAGUAACGCGUGAGCAAUCUACCUUAGUUACAGGGAUAGCCCGAGGAAACUCGGAUUAAUACCUGAUAUUCUUUAAAUUUCGCAUGAAAUCAAAAGGAAAGGUCAGCCGAACUAAGAUGAGCUCGCGUUCUAUCAGCUAGUUGGUGAGGUAAAAGCUCACCAAGGCAACGACGGAUAGCUGGUCUGAGAGGACGAUCAGCCACACUGGGACUGAGACACGGCCCAGACUCCUACGGGAGGCUGCAGCAGGGAAUAUUGCGCAAUGAGCGAAAGCUUGACGCAGCGACACCGCGUGUGGGAUGACGGAUCUAGGUUUGUAAACCACUUUCAGGAGGGAAGAAAAUGACGGUACCUCCACAAGAAGCCCCGGCCAACUACGUG